GGGGGUGCAUUGGCUUCGACGGGGGUUGCGAAAUCGACCGGUGCAUGCCGAGGGGGCCGCUUUCCUCGUAAAUCCAGCAGCAAACUCAUAGUUGCCAACGACGACAACUACGCUCUGGCCGCUUAAGGCCUAGCCCCGAACCCACUUGUGCCCGUGCUCGUGGAUGUAGGGUCAUCAUCACGGGAUCGGUGCCGGCGGCAACCCGCCAACCGGCAUUCAAAUAAAGCGGGUAUGGUUCCGGGCGUGCUUCGCACGUCGUGUUGCCCGGGGCCGAGACCAAACGGCGAGCUAAGCAUGUAGUACCGGAGAUGGAGUGCCUUCGGACGGCGGUUCGAUUCCGCCCACCUCCACCA
Molecule: transfer-messenger RNA, 353 nt
Filed under: Pseudoxanthomonas suwonensis
Lineage: Bacteria; Pseudomonadati; Pseudomonadota; Gammaproteobacteria; Lysobacterales; Lysobacteraceae
Rfam family: transfer-messenger RNA
About the family: Bacterial tmRNA, also known as 10Sa RNA or SsrA, is named for its dual tRNA and mRNA-like properties. Its role is to liberate the mRNA from a stalled ribosome.
Source: RNAcentral